CCUGGUUGAUCCUGCCAGUAGUCAUAUGCUUGUCUCAAAGAUUAAGCCAUGCAUGUCUCAGUGCAAGCCACAUUAAGGUGAAACCGCGAAUGGCUCAUUAAAUCAGUUAUGGUUCCUUAGAUGGUGGACAGUUACUUGGAUAACUGUGGUAAUUCUAGAGCUAAUACAUGCAACUGAGUCCUGACCGGCGACGGAAGGGACGCUUUUAUUAGAUCAAAACCAAUCGGUCGCUCACGCGGCCGUUUGCCUUGGUGACUCUGAAUAAAUUGAGGCGGAUCGCACGGUCUCCGAACCGGCGACGCAUCUUUCAAAUGUCUGCCUUAUCAACUGUCGAUGGUAGGCUCUGCGCCUACCAUGGUUGUAACGGGUAACGGGGAAUCAGGGUUCGAUUCCGGAGAGGGAGCCUGAGAAACGGCUACCACAUCCAAGGAAGGCAGCAGGCGCGCAAAUUACCCACUCCCGGCACGGGGAGGUAGUGACGAAAAAUAACGAUACGGGACUCAUCCGAGGCCCCGUAAUCGGAAUGAGUACACUCUAAAGACUUUAACGAGUAUCCAUUGGAGGGCAAGUCUGGUGCCAGCAGCCGCGGUAAUUCCAGCUCCAAUAGCGUAUAUUAAAGCUGUUGCGGUUAAAAAGCUCGUAGUCGGACUUGUGUCCCACGCUGCCGGUUCACCGCCCGUCGGUGUUUAACUGGCACGCACGUGCGGACGUCCUGCCGGUGGCCCGAGCCGGCGCUCGCGGGUGAGGGGGCGGUAACGUCUCACACCCCGGGUCGUCUCGGGGAGGGCCUACACAAUCCCGUCGCGGUGCUCUUGACCGAGUGUCUCGAUGGGCCGGCACGUUUACUUUGAACAAAUUAGAGUGCUUAAAGCAGGCAGCAGCCGCCUGAAUACCGAGUGCAUGGAAUAAUAGAAUAGGACCUCGGUUCUAUUUUGUUGGUUUUCGGAAUCCCCGAGGUAAUGAUCAAAAGGGACAGACGGGGGCAUUCGUAUUGCGACGUUAGAGGUGAAAUUCUUGGAUCGUCGCAAGACGGACAGAAGCGAAAGCAUUUGCCAAGAAUGUUUUCUCUGAUCAAGAACGAAAGUUAGAGGUUCGAAGGCGAUCAGAUACCGCCCUAGUUCUAACCAUAAACGAUGCCAGCCAGCAAUCCGCCGAAGUUCCUCCGAUGACUCGGCGGGCGGCUUCCGGGAAACCAAAGCUUUUGGGUUCCGGGGGAAGUAUGGUUGCAAAGCUGAAACUUAAAGGAAUUGACGGAA
RNAcentral lists this ribosomal RNA (1256 nucleotides) under Coptotermes testaceus. RNAcentral describes it as "SSU rRNA". It matches the Rfam family "Eukaryotic small subunit ribosomal RNA", at positions 3 to 1161 of the family's 1831-position model. The record is from RNAcentral. Lineage: Eukaryota; Metazoa; Arthropoda; Insecta; Blattodea; Rhinotermitidae.